AAAAGCUGCCAGCGGCGUCACUGCUGUGUCGCUUGAAAAUGGGCCGAGGAGGUCGGAGGUCAGGUGGUUCCUGAACGCUGAGCAACCGGCGGACUCGACCGAGAACCUGCAGACAUUUAAAAAGUGACUACAAGAAAGCCAGCCGGCGUAGAAGAAGAACUGCAGCAGGGUGAAGACGGGGACGUAGAGGUCCAGGUCGUGGCCUUUUUGUUCCUGGGCGGGGUCCAGAAACUGUCGACCAAUCAGACAAGCGAAGAAGAAGGUGUAGACGGCCAGAGUGACGACCUGAAGAGACGAACAGACGGAGGAUGUUCUGCAGGUCGAUGCUGUCCUGAAUUCGUCCUUCCUGUCGCGCUUUGGAAGCCAAGUUGGAGAACCAGACGACAGGAAUCCAGUACUUCAGGUGAGGAGAUCGAAUGUUCUCAAAGACCUUCCUCUCCUCAGGAGUCAUGAAACCUGUGGAAACGGAUUAUAACAGGACUUGUUGGGAAGAAGUUUGGUCGACUGUGUGACUGUUAGGAUCGAUGCUAACCUGCCUCCACCACGUGCUCCAUGGUCGGGAAGCGUUUGCAGACGGCCGUGCUGACGGAUCUGAAGAUGAGCAGCGAUGUCAGAUUAACGUAACGAACCAGCGUCCGGCGCAGCAGCCGGCCAUAUUCAUCUUUACCCUGAACACAGCUGGGAAAGGCAGGAGACAGAUAGAAAACUGUUUAAAGUUCAUGAAACUCUGGAUUGAAGUGAAAAAAAGGUUGUUUUUAAAUCAACAAAACUCUACAGAUGUGUACACAUCGAAACAUCCAGCUCCUGAACCGGAGAGAUGAGCUCCACAAACACUCAGCUGCUUUUAACUUCCUCUGCUCUUUAAUGAUCUGUUUCCAUUAGCAGGCUGCUAAUGAGGCAACCCAACACCCGUCUGUCCGUCUGUCUGCCGAGGCAGGAAGUACAGUUCCAGUUAGAUUUCAGCUCUUUAGCUUUUAUGGCCUUCGAGUGGUUUUAAAUCUCUCACCAUUUACAGUAGAACCAAACAUCCAUCCGUCUGUCAGUGACGGAGUGUUAAGUCGUUUUAUUCCCAGAGGACUAAUAUUAACUGGACUCCUGCUGCCUUUAUGACCUCAAUUAAGGUCCGUCUACAUGAUUCCACAGUAAGGGCGUUACCAGGAACAAACCACAACUUGUCAAAAAGAACAUAAAGAUUUUUCAGGCAUUUGCAAAAAAUAUGUUUAGAUGAGACUUUUGGGAGAACAUCCUCUGGAUGAGUCAAUGGUGGAACUUUCUGGAAGACAUGAGUGAGGGUUACAUCUGGUGUAAAACUAAUAGUGUAUUCCACCAGAAGAACAUGAUACCAGCAGUGAAACAUGGUGGUGGUAGUGUGAUGGUUGGAGGACCUGAACGACUUGUCAUAAUUAACAAAGCCAUGAAUUCUGCUCUCUAUCAGCUGGAGAAUAUCCACCAUCAGUUCAUGACCUAAAACUCAACACAAAUGGGUUCUGCAGAAAGACAAUGACCCAAAACUACACAAGGAAAUCCACCUCUGAGUGACUGAAAAGGAACAAAAUUAAUUUUUGGAGUGGCCGAGUCAAAGUCCUAAUUUGAAUCCAAAUGAGAUACUGUGGAAAGACCUUAAAAGGAGAAUACUGAAUUUCCCUUUGGGGAUGAAUAAAGUGAUUCUGAUUCUGA
Molecule: long non-coding RNA, 1677 nt
Organism: Acanthochromis polyacanthus (spiny chromis)
Lineage: Eukaryota; Metazoa; Chordata; Actinopteri; Pomacentridae
Exons: 5
Source: RefSeq, a predicted model, not a curated record